AUGGAGGCGCCGGCGGCCAGAGGAGGAGCGCGAAUGCGGCUGCGGGCUGUGGCGGCGGUGGUGGUGCUGGCGAUGGUGGCGGCGACGGGGAGGGCGCAGCUGCAGGUCGGGUACUACGACACGCUGUGCCCGGCGGCGGAGAUCAUCGUGCAGCAGGAGGUCAGCAAGGGCGUGUCCGGCAGCCCCGGCACCGCCGCCGGCCUCCUCCGGCUCCACUUCCACGACUGCUUCGUCAGGGGCUGCGACGGGUCGGUGCUGCUGGACUCGACGGCGGGCAACCAGGCGGAGAAGGACGCGCCCCCCAACUCGAGCCUGCGCGGGUUCGAGGUGAUCGACGCGGCCAAGACGCGGCUGGAGCAGGCCUGCUACGGCGUCGUCUCCUGCGCCGACGUGCUCGCCUUCGCCGCCAGAGACGCCCUCGCCCUGGUCGGAGGUAACUCGUACCAGGUGCCGGCGGGGCGGCGAGACGGCAACGUCUCGGUGGCGGGGGAGACCAACGGGAACCUGCCGCCGCCGACCGCCAACGUGAACCAGCUCAACCAGAUCUUCGGCUCCAAGGGCCUCACCCAGGCCCAGAUGGUCGCGCUCUCAGGUGCGCACACGGUGGGGAUGGCGCAGUGCAGCUCCUUCAGCAGCCGGCUCUACUCGUACGGGACCAGCGGGGGCAAGGACCCCAGCAUGGACCCGAGCUACCUGGCGACGCUGAGCACGCAGUGCCCGCAGUCCGGCGCCAGCCAGCCCGUGGCCAUGGACCCCGUCACCCCCAACACCUUCGACACCAACUACUACGCCAACGUCGCCGCCAACCGCGGCCUGCUCUCCUCCGACCAGGCGCUGCUCGCCGACAACGGCACCGCCGCGCAGGUCCUCGGCUACACCUCCAGCCCCGGCACCUUCCAGACCGACUUCGCCAGCGCCAUGGUCGCCAUGGGCGCCAUCGGCGUGCUCACCGGCAACCAAGGCACCAUCAGGACCAACUGCAGGGUCGUCGGCUGA
This 996-nucleotide ribosomal RNA is filed under the name Triticum aestivum (bread wheat). Its description in RNAcentral is "partial small subunit ribosomal RNA". The record is from RNAcentral. Lineage: Eukaryota; Viridiplantae; Streptophyta; Magnoliopsida; Poales; Poaceae.